CCUUGCGAGUAAGGGAGACACCAGGAGAGGGAAAAUCGGCGAAGCACGUGUCGUGUUGACCCCAACGGUUUCCCAUCACCGGCAAGCAUUUGCAUGGAGGUAUCGGUUUCCGAUGAUCGAACGACAUUGAAUCAACUCUCAUCCCCGUGAUCAACGGUCCUCCCGGCGUUCCUGGCGUCGGCGGAGCCGUCACCGCCACCGCACCCAUUUCAGCCUCCGGCGGAGACAUCCUAAUCUUUUCGGGAGAAGAAAAUGGAUCUGGGACGUUAAUUUACAUGCUUGUAAGGAUUUUUAUGAAGCUGUUACUACGUAAGAAGAAGAAUAUGAACGAAGAUAGCCACCUCAAAAAACCAAAUUCAGAAACCGAAUCAUAUAAAAAGCAAAGACGACACACAUAUGGAUGCGUACGUUAGCACUGAACAAAGACUAAUUCUCGAAUCUGUGGUUCUGAAAGGAAAGAAAAGAAAAAUAGAGAGAUGUAUGAAAGGUUUGGUUAAUGCUCGAGCUUAAGUUAUAUUUAUAUGUGUGUGUUUAUAUAGAAAAGAGAUUGUUAUGCAUUGAACCCAAAAAGAUCAAUAGUAAAAAGUCAACUCCAAUAACAGUUCAUUACUAACGCCCUUUAUAAAGAUAUCUGCUAGAGUCACCGGUGCCUUUGUCACCGGCAUCUUCGUUACCGUUCGAUCUAAGCAACAUAUCUGUAUGUGAUUCUUAGGAACCGCACAUGGCCGUGACGGUAUCACUGAUCAUUUGCCACCCCACAAUCCUCCAAUAAUUGAAUAGAAAAUUGUUCUUAAGUCUGGGGAAGAGCGUUUGAUUCUUGGAACAAUUUUUAAAGAGAACUAUUCCAUAUUGUUAUAAGAGAAUUUAGGCUGUGUAUACACACAAUAAUCCAAAAUUAAGAAAAUACCCCAUCACCAUCUUUUACACUGUGGUUCUUUCGAUAUCCCACUAAUGCCCCUGCCCAAACUUCUGCCCAAAUUAUAUCUCCUUCUCUCUCUCGUGUUUCUUCUUCAAAAUUCAUUGCCUGAACAAUAAUUCCAUCUCCCUUUCUUUCUCUUCCUUGUAUCUUCUUAAAAUUCUUAAAUACAAUUUUUUAACAUUUCUACAAUCUUUCUCUUCAUUUGUUUUCGAUUUCCAUCGAUGUAAAUCCAAUAUCAUCUAACUGUAAUUCUUUCAACACAGUCUCUGGAUCCAGCGAGUACUAUUCUCUUGAUGAGUUCAUCUACCGCAGAAUCUCCAUGGUACAUAAAGGAGAAAUCUAUUUGAUUCACAAAUGCACAUGGCUGUAAGGAUGGACCUUAUCAUUAAGAAAGGGGUUCUUCCCAAGAUUGAUAACGACGACCUUAAUCUCACAUUUAAUUACAAUUAUUUGUAAUCACUAUACAACAACUAGAUUUCUAUUAAGUGAUAAAUAUUUGAUUAGAUGUUACAUAUUAAGUCUUGUAAGCAUAUACAUGUUUAGUUAGGUGUUAAAACUUUAUGUAAAAUUUAUUUGUUACAAAUUAGUUGCUGUUAUAUGA
Brassica napus (rape) is the source of this 1520-nucleotide long non-coding RNA. RefSeq lists it as uncharacterized. The record is from RefSeq and is a predicted model, not a curated record. NCBI's taxonomy places the organism in Eukaryota, Viridiplantae, Streptophyta, Magnoliopsida, Brassicales, Brassicaceae. The transcript has 2 exons.